UUCCCGCACAGAACAAUGACCUCUCGUGAGCCCGUGCUUUCCAACCUCACCGAGGGUUACUGUGCAGCCCUGAUUCCUCCCCUGAUUAUCUUGAAGCCUGUCAAGCUGUAAGGUUCUCCCUCCGCUCUCUGCUCUUUCUUCCUAAUAGACAUGAAACAGUCCAGUCAAUAAUAUUUUACUUGUCUUCCCACUGCGUGUCUCUUCUUCUGAUCAGUUUAGGCGGGUUUGACUGCAGAAAGUCAGAAGGGAGGUUAAGAUCUGAAAAGUUCAGCCAAAUGUUAUCAGCCUCAGAGAUGUUGCUAAGGGAGAGGCCCCCCAGCCCUUGGCGACCGGAGCCAAUAAUAGCUGCGAUGCACUGAUAGCGUCAACGCCUGUCAGAGAUCCAGGCGUUUGCGGUUCGUCUGUAAACGCAAACACCUGUAUCCAGUCAAGCUAUGAUGGUUAUCCUCUCUUUGCCUGUCAUUCCCUUAGGUUCCUUGAAGGGGCUGCCAGGAUGUUCUAAGCUGUGAGUUGAUUUAUAAAGUGAAGGAUCUCUCCGAAACUUUGGCAUGGACGGGGAAAUUGACUAAAGCGCGCCUCUCCUCCAGGGGGUGACGCGGCCUUUUGACAAUGCCUCACCCUUUAAGAAGUGACACGUCUAAUUUGGAUCUGGGAUUGGUGGAAGAAUUCAGGUGUCCAGCUAAUAAUAA
Molecule: long non-coding RNA, 689 nt
Organism: Bubalus bubalis (water buffalo)
Lineage: Eukaryota; Metazoa; Chordata; Mammalia; Artiodactyla; Bovidae
Exons: 2
Source: RefSeq, a predicted model, not a curated record